UCUCUUGAAUGAUGAGAAUAAGCAAUUUCAGUUAUCCCUGUCUGAUGUAUUCUGCUGAUAGCUUGUGAUCUGACAAGACA
This 80-nucleotide small nucleolar RNA is filed under the name Ipomoea nil (Japanese morning glory). Its description in RNAcentral is "Small nucleolar RNA R38". It matches the Rfam family "Small nucleolar RNA R38". Rfam says of the family: snoR38 is a C/D box small nucleolar RNA conserved across yeast, human, Arabidopsis and rice. Lineage: Eukaryota; Viridiplantae; Streptophyta; Magnoliopsida; Solanales; Convolvulaceae. The record is from Rfam by way of RNAcentral.